RNAcentral lists this non-coding RNA (301 nucleotides) under Phascolarctos cinereus (koala). The record is from RNAcentral. Lineage: Eukaryota; Metazoa; Chordata; Mammalia; Diprotodontia; Phascolarctidae.
GCCAGGAGUGGUGGUGCUCAUUUAUAAUUCCAGAUACUUGGGAAGCUGAGGCUAGUAGAUCUCUUGAGAUCUGGAAUUUUGAGUUAUAGUGGAACUACAUUGAUUAGGUGUUUUUACUAAGCGCAUCAUUAAUAAGGUGAGCUUCCCAGGAAUGAGAAGAUACCAGGUUGCCUAAGGAGUAGUGAACCAGCCCAGUUUAGGAACAGAAUAGGUCAAAAUUCCCAUGCCAAUCAGUCUUGAAAUCAGGCUGGUGAGUGUCCCCUAUACUUCUUUUCAGUGCGCUAUAUAACUCUAAGUCUAU